GGAAGGGAAGGGGUAAGCAGACCAUUUUAUUAAGGGCCUUUGGGGAAGGGUGGGAGGGCUGGGAGGAUCCUGAGAGCGAUGUCCUCGGCCCGGCUGGGACUUCCCCAGCUUCACAGCCGCGAAAAAGUAUGAAUCUUUUGUUAGGAAGCGGCUCUGUCCCUGCGACUGGGACCAGACAUCUCCAAGGAAAGUCUCCUGGUCAGGAAGCCUUCCCCCCACCCCCACCCCUACCCCCAGGAGGGGUGGACUAGAUCUCUCCAGUGAAAGCUGGGGCUUGGAGAGGUGGGCAGUCUCCCCUACCGCAAAAGCCCUCAGGAAUUCCCAUCCGUGGAGGAGUCUGCUGCCCUGGGGACUGAUUUCCACCUUCAGUUCUGCCCACUCCUGCUGCCUCGCCUGUUCCACUUUUUUCCUUAGAGAGCCUCCUGCAGAGGUCAGCGAAUCCAUUUUGGGGUUGUCUAAAAGAAGCACUCGCGGCUCCAAAAAGGAGGGGCCGUAGCCCUUUAAGGAUUUCGCCGGGGAUGGCUUCAGAGAUGAUUUAAAAAUGCCAACUCACAGAGCGCUCUGAAUUCUGGGAAUGGGGGGGUGUCAGCUCGAGAACUACAAGGACCAGAAUGCACUGCGAACACACACGCCUUUACUUCCUGCUGCUCUUUCGGACCCUGGUUUGACGUAGGGGCUCCUUCAAAGCUAGUAGCCUAGCGGAGGGCCGAGCCACGCCUUUUCGCCUAUUGGCCGGCUCUUGAGCUGGUGGGUGUGGCUUAGUGCAACUCCACUUAGGCAAAGGGGUGGUCUCCUUGUCAAUCUGAGCUAAGCCAGCCCGGAGAGGCGGGAUCAGGGCGAAGGGCGGGCGCCCCCGAGUGGGUGUGGCCACGCCGCACACCGGUGGGCGGUGAUUGGCCCAGGGCGGUGCAAUCGCAACUCGUGCGUCACGACGCCGCCAGCUGAUCGGAGACUGGAGCCGGUGUGCGCUGGGCGCUGGGAAGAGAGCGCCGCCGGCCGUGGGGCACGGACGCACUGAUUUGCUCCCCAACCUUCGGCAGCCCCCACACACACCCAGCACCAGGAGCCGGCACCUCCCACACCCUCACCUGGCUGAGCCGCAGUAGUUCUUCAGUGGCAAGCUUUAUGUCCUGACCCCGCUAAAGCUGCCAGUUGAAGAACUGUUGCCCUCUGCCGCUGGCUUCGAGGAGGAGGAGGAGGAGGAGAAGGAGCUGCUUUCCCCCUCUUCUGGAAGGUGACAGAACUGGGGCUGGGAAGGUCUGGACAGCAGGAGUGAUGGUGAUAUGUUUCAGGAAAGGGAACCUUGUUCAGUCGGAGAGCCUUCACCCUGAUUGGCGUCACAAGAGAGAACAAUUUGAGAGACCCUGACUGAAUUAGGGAAUAGUUGUCUCCGGCUGCCUAACGUUAGUCAGUCUUUGUGUGACAGUGGGAGGAAGUGGAGCAAAAGAAACCCUGUCUAUCCCUUUACCCAGAUGUCUUUCUUGGCCCUCCUUCCUUAUCCCUCAUUCUUUCCACUGGUCUUUCCAGGUGAGGUCCAGAAGGUCAUACUAAAACUGCCUUUUCAGUAGCCAUACCCCUGCUCUUACCUUUCCUGUAUCUCCUUAGACUGGCCCAGACUCGAGAUUCAGGGAUGCUGACCUAUAUGUGGCACCCUUAGACAUCCAGUCUCAGCUUCCCCACCUGCCUGAGAUGGAGAGAUCACCCAGUGGAGUGUGCUUGAGGAAACCAGAAGCCCAUCUGUGCAGACUCAGCUUGGGGUGGGAAUAAAACAGCUUUUCCCUUAAGCUAGUGCCCCUCUCCCCGUCCCUGACGGUGACCCCAGAGGUAGGGGGUUGGAGGGCUAAAGGGGCUCCGCCUCCACACUGACUUCUCAUUGUGCAAAGGUGGCCCCAGGGGUCCUCUGCCACCCAUGACAGGACUGCGGCCCCUGACGGCCACCACCGCUCUUCCUCACUUCACUUUCAGGAUGGUGUGUGAAACUCAACUCAGCCCUGUGCAGGCAGGAAAUUCUCCCCUCCAGCAACCAGGAGAGCUGAGUUCUGGGACUCAACCCCUUUGGGGCAUCAGGCAGUAUAAACCUGCCAUCCCCAGUUCCUGAUCCAAUCGCACUCUUUGGCUCAGGCUCUGGUGUGGUUCAGCCUUGGCCUAGAAUCCCUGCCUGAAGGUGGCUGCCUUCAGGGGCUGCAGGAAGCUGUUUGUUCUAUUUUGGGGGGGAAGAGGAGCUGGGUCCUGUUACCCAUUUGUGAGAAACUCAAAAGAUUUAGGGGAGAGUAGACCACUGAACCCAGCUCUUCCACAGCUUAAGCCGGAUGUGUGUGGGACUGUGGUAGAGGGGGUGGGUAGACUGAGUCCACUCCACAAAGAUCUCUCUGUCCCUGGACAUUGCUUCCGUCUUUCCUUCCCCUCCUCGCUCCACUGGCCACAGUGCUUCCUUCCAGCCCUGGGUGUGUGGCUCUGCCAUCCUCACCGAUCAUGGAGCAGAGAUGAGGAGGAGCGUCCUGGGAACACAGGCAGGCGGAAAACCAGUGAAGGACAAAGCCUGCAGUGCACAGGACCUGUCUGGGCACCCUGCAGAGGGGGGCAUAAAGGCCAGGAGCACCCCAGGAAGAGAGAGGACACCCAGCCUCCGGCAAGGACAAGCUUCCCGGCAUCUUCAGUCUUUCCGCCUCCUUCAGAGAUGUGGGACCAUAUUAAAGUGUCCUGUGGCUUCCCCUACCUCCUUCCACCUCUCUCCUACCUUGUAAUUUACAUAUAAGCAGCUUCAAGGAACAAGAGCCAGCUGUGAAAGGAUAUACACAGGAAAUUCAUAAAAUAAAAGCAAAUGAAUAAAACCAUGAAUACAAAUGUGUACUUCAUUAUUAAUUAAAGAGAGGCAAAUA
Long non-coding RNA from Pipistrellus kuhlii (Kuhl's pipistrelle), 2879 nucleotides. RefSeq lists it as uncharacterized. The transcript is spliced from 2 exons. Lineage: Eukaryota; Metazoa; Chordata; Mammalia; Chiroptera; Vespertilionidae. The record is from RefSeq and is a predicted model, not a curated record.